Peromyscus eremicus (cactus mouse) is the source of this 1039-nucleotide long non-coding RNA. RefSeq lists it as uncharacterized. Lineage: Eukaryota; Metazoa; Chordata; Mammalia; Rodentia; Cricetidae. The record is from RefSeq and is a predicted model, not a curated record. The transcript is spliced from 2 exons.
UAGACAUUUGAUACAAGUUUAAGACAUAAUUUAGUUUGAAAUUUAAAAUAAGAUUUUAUGACCAGUUAUAAAGAUGGUUAAAAGUUGUUUUGUUUUUAAUUAAAAAACAGUUUCAACACAAAGAAACACUAUUCUGGUUUUUAAAGAAGAUUACAUUUAAACAUUCUGGGAGAAGGGUUGGCAUGGUUCUGAUGUCACACUGGAAAGAGUGAGUUCUGUGACAUCCUCUACUUCCUUGGCAUGGCUGGGGUUAAUAUACAUAGAUUCAUCUACUUGUGAAACAUAACGUACUCGGCGAAGCACAUCAUUUAACUCUUGCUUACGAGGUAGAAUGUUUUCUUUUACAGCUAACGCUGUUCUCUGUUAACAUCUGCUAGGAUAAUGAACUACUCUGACUGUUCCAAAGUGCUUGGCAGAAGAAACUGAGUCCUAGUCACUGAGCAUUCUCAUUGACUUCCAAUGCACUGCUUGCUACAAUGGCAUUUUACGGUCAGGAGAAGCAAGGCAAGAUCCCAAGAGAAAGACACUGGAACCAGGACUGUCGAAACCGCCGUCUCGUGUUCUAGGCAAAGAGCUGAAUAACUACAAGGCAGAUGGUUGGACAAGGCUGGCGAGCACUUCCUACACAGUACUAUGUGGUCCUACAGGAAGGACCGAUGACCUGGAUCUGAAUGGGGCUUCAAUCUGGCCCUGGGCGGAAGGGCAGUGAGGCCUGAGAGCCCAGCCAGCCUGCAGGCAUUGGACUCCCAGUGCCACCUUCCUUCAAGGUCUGAUGCAGUGAUGAGUGGCUAGUGGUCACUGACCUGAGUAACAGAGGACACUUUCAUUCCCAGAACGAAUCCACUUAUUUAUACACUUAAAGUCAGUGUUAUCAAUUGAGGUAAACACACACAGCUGUGCCAGGUAUGAACACAGCCAGCUAUAGGUCUCAAAUUCAUGGGUUUUAAAGUUUUAUUAGGAAGCACACAGGAAGGAAAUUUAAAUGAUUCAGCUUAGUAAAAUAAAAUGCUUACUAAAAAUAAAAUGUCACAUUAGCGUA